UGGGGAAUCUUGCGCAAUGGACGAAAGUCUGACGCAGCCACGCCGCGUGAGUGAAGAAGGCCUUCGGGUUGUAAAGCUCUGUCGGAAGGGACAAAAACGUUUACGGUUAAUAGCCGUAGAUCUUGAUGGUACCUUUAAAGGAAGCACCGGCUAACUUCGUGCCAGCAGCCGCGGUAAUACGAAGGGUGCAAGCGUUGCUCGGAAUUAUUGGGCGUAAAGGGUAGGUAGGUGGUUACGUAUGUCUGAGGUGAAAUCCCUGAGCUUAACUCAGGAAGUGCCUUGGAAACGGCGUAACUAGAGUGCUAGAGAGGUUCGUGGAAUUCCCAGUGUAGCGGUGAAAUGCGUAGAGAUUGGGAGGAACACCAGAGGCGAAGGCGGCGAACUGGAUAGCAACUGACACUGAACUACGAAAGCGUGGGUAGCAAACAGG
RNAcentral lists this ribosomal RNA (430 nucleotides) under uncultured delta proteobacterium. RNAcentral describes it as "bacterial SSU rRNA". It matches the Rfam family "Bacterial small subunit ribosomal RNA", at positions 355 to 776 of the family's 1533-position model. The record is from RNAcentral. Lineage: Bacteria; Deltaproteobacteria.